Molecule: ribosomal RNA, 468 nt
Filed under: uncultured bacterium
Lineage: Bacteria
Description: partial 16S ribosomal RNA
Rfam family: Bacterial small subunit ribosomal RNA
Source: RNAcentral
GACGAACGCUGGCGGCGUGCUUAACACAUGCAAGUCGAACGGAAAGGCCCUGCUUUUGUGGGGUGCUCGAGUGGCGAACGGGUGAGUAACACGUGAGUAACCUGCCCUUGACUUUGGGAUAACUUCAGGAAACUGGGGCUAAUACCGGAUAGGAGCUCCUGCUGCAUGGUGGGGGUUGGAAAGUUUCGGCGGUUGGGGAUGGACUCGCGGCUUAUCAGCUUGUUGGUGGGGUAGUGGCUUACCAAGGCUUUGACGGGUAGCCGGCCUGAGAGGGUGACCGGCCACAUGGGGACUGCGAUACGGCCCAGACUCCUACGGGAGGCAGCAGUGGGGAAUAUUGCGCAAUGGGCGGAAGCCUGAUGCAGCAACGCCGCGUGCGGGAUGACGGCCUUCGGGUUGUAAACCGCUUUCGCCUGUGACGAAGCGUGAGUGACGGUAAUGGGUAAAGAAGCACCGGCUAACUACGUG